Molecule: long non-coding RNA, 978 nt
Filed under: Brassica rapa (field mustard)
Lineage: Eukaryota; Viridiplantae; Streptophyta; Magnoliopsida; Brassicales; Brassicaceae
Description: long non-coding RNA (BRAP_LNC008664)
Source: RNAcentral
UCGUGCUUGGUCGAUCCACCUCGUGCUUCUACAUGUCAAGCUGCAUGUGCAGCUUACAUGCAUGUCGACACCUCGAGCUUCUGUAGACACUCAUCUUGCUGGACAGUUGACACCACGUUCUGAACCCAUGCAACAAGCCACCUCGAGCUUCUCGGUCCAUUGGCCUGAUUUCAGUCCUUCCGGUAAAUUUCUGACCGGCGAUUAAUCCCGAAUAUUUUUCUUCUCCCAUUCAGAUGAGUUUAAUAUUUUUAAUAAACUCCAAUCUGAAGUCUGACCUUGGCGGUAAAUAUUUCCCGAUCCUUCAGCUUCAUCAAAGACUUACAUAAUACCGAAAUUAGGGUUUUAGUCUAAUUUCGGGUUUUCCCGUCGUGCUUCAAUCCCGUCGUGCUUGCUUCCCAUCGUACUUACUUCCCGUCAUGCUUAAUUCCCAUCAUGUUUCCAAUGUCUUCGAAUUAAUAUUCCGCUGAUACGAAGUUUCGCGGAAAACUUCAUGCUGAAGAAACGUCAUUCUUCCAAAACGUCGAGCUUCUAAACCGUCGUGCUUCCAAAAAUGUUAUGCUUCGAAAACGUCCGUCUCAUCAAUCUAAGACAUCUUCUAACUAUGGUCGAGCAACUUAUUCGACUCAUAGUUCACUCACGAUCACUUCUUUGCCCACCUCGUAUUUCAAAGCUUCUUGAUCGAUCCAUAUCGCAUGCGACUCGACCACCACAAAGAUACUCGACCACUCUUUUCUUUCUUUUUUUUUUUUUUUUUUUUUAACGGGUUUCUACACUUCCCGUGGACAGUUCGGGGUAUUUUGGCCCACGUGGGCUGUAUGUUCAGUACACACAGGACGUCCGUGGGUGUCCGCCAGCAAACAUAGAACGUCUGUGGCUGUCUGUGUGUGUCCGUGUCUGUCCGUCUGCACACACAGGACGUCCGUAGCUGUCCAUCAGUACACAUAUCAGCACGCUGGCCCUUCCCGUUGACUGUUUGUG